UGGCUCAGGAUGAACGCUAGCUACAGGCUUAACACAUGCAAGUCGAGGGGCAUCAGGAAGAAAGCUUGCUUUCUUUGCUGGCGACCGGCGCACGGGUGAAUAACACGUAUCCAACCUGCCCUUUACUCGGGGAUAGCCCUUCGAAAGAAAGAUUAAUACCCGAUAGCAUAAUGAUUCCGCAUGGUUUCAUUAUUAAAGGAUUCCGGUAAAGGAUGGGGAUGCGUUCCAUUAGGUUGUUGGUGAGGUAACGGCCCACCAAGCCUUCGAUGGAUAAGGGUUCUGAGAGGAAGGUCCCCCACAUUGGAACUGAGACACGGUCCAAACUCCUACGGGAGGCAGCAGUGAGGAAUAUUGGUCAAUGGGCGCUAGCCUGAACCAGCCAAGUAGCGUGAAGGAUGAAGGCUCUAUGGGUCGUAAACUUCUUUUAUAUAAGAAUAAAGUGCAGUAUGUAUACUGUUUUGUAUGUAUUAUAUGAAUAAGGAUCGGCUAACUCCGUGCCAGCAGCCGCGGUAAUACGGAGGAUCCGAGCGUUAUCCGGAUUUAUUGGGUUUAAAGGGAGCGUAGGUGGACUGGUAAGUCAGUUGUGAAAGUUUGCGGCUCAACCGUAAAAUUGCAGUUGAUACUGUCAGUCUUGAGUACAGUAGAGGUGGGCGGAAUUAGUGGUGUAGCGGUGAAAUGCUUAGAUAUCACGAAGAACUCCGAUUGCGAAGGCAGCUCACUGGACUGCAACUGACACUGAUGCUCGAAAGUGUGGGUAUCAAACAGGAUUAGAUACCCUGGUAGUCCACACAGUAAACGAUGAAUACUCGCUGUUUGCGAUAUACAGUAAGCGGCCAAGCGAAAGCAUUAAGUAUUCCACCUGGGGAGUACGCCGGCAACGGUGAAACUCAAAGGAAUUGACGGGGGCCCGCACAAGCGGAGGAACAUGUGGUUUAAUUCGAUGAUACGCGAGGAACCUUACCCGGGCUUAAAUUGCAGUGGAAUGAUGUGGAAACAUGUCAGUGAGCAAUCACCGCUGUGAAGGUGCUGCAUGGUUGUCGUCAGCUCGUGCCGUGAGGUGUCGGCUUAAGUGCCAUAACGAGCGCAACCCUUAUCUUUAGUUACUAACAGGUUAUGCUGAGGACUCUAGAGAGACUGCCGUCGUAAGAUGUGAGGAAGGUGGGGAUGACGUCAAAUCAGCACGGCCCUUACGUCCGGGGCUACACACGUGUUACAAUGGGGGGUACAGAAGGCAGCUAGCGGGUGACCGCAUGCUAAUCCCAAAAUCCUCUCUCAGUUCGGAUCGAAGUCUGCAACCCGACUUCGUGAAGCUGGAUUCGCUAGUAAUCGCGCAUCAGCCACGGCGCGGUGAAUACGUUCCCGGGCCUUGUACACACCGCCCGUCAAGCCAUGGGAGCCGGGGGUACCUGAAGUACGUAACCGCAAGGAUCGUCCUAGGGUAA
Molecule: ribosomal RNA, 1442 nt
Filed under: uncultured organism
Description: SSU rRNA
Rfam family: Bacterial small subunit ribosomal RNA
Source: RNAcentral